RNAcentral lists this ribosomal RNA (245 nucleotides) under uncultured bacterium. RNAcentral describes it as "partial 16S ribosomal RNA". It matches the Rfam family "Bacterial small subunit ribosomal RNA", at positions 524 to 768 of the family's 1533-position model. The record is from RNAcentral.
GACGAACCGUGCGAACGUUGUUCGGAUUCACUGGGCUUAAAGGGCGCGUAGGCGGCCGCCCGAGUCGGGGGUGAAAUCGUCCGGCCCAACCGGACAAGCGCCUCCGAUACUGGGCGGCUCGAGGGGGGUAGGGGCAUGCGGAACUUCCGGUGGAGCGGUGAAAUGCGUAGAUAUCGGAAGGAACGCCGGUGGCGAAAGCGGCGUGCUGGACCCCUCCUGACGCUGAGGCGCGAAAGCCAGGGGAG